RNAcentral lists this ribosomal RNA (1359 nucleotides) under uncultured bacterium. Its description in RNAcentral is "partial 16S ribosomal RNA". It matches the Rfam family "Bacterial small subunit ribosomal RNA". The record is from RNAcentral.
AGAGUUUGAUCCUGGCUCAGGAUGAACGCUGGCGGCGUGCCUAACACAUGCAAGUCGAGCGAUCUCUUCGGAGAGAGCGGCGGACGGGUGAGUAACGCGUGGGUAACCUGCCCUGUACACACGGAUAACAUACCGAAAGGUAUACUAAUACGGGAUAACAUACGAAAGUCGCAUGGCUUUUGUAUCAAAGCUCCGGCGGUACAGGAUGAACCCGCGUCUGAUUAGCUAGUUGGUAAGGUAAUGGCUUACCAAGGCAACGAUCAGUAGCCGACCUGAGAGGGUGAUCGGCCACACUGGAACUGAGACACGGUCCAGACUCCUACGGGAGGCAGCAGUGGGGAAUAUUGCACAAUGGGCGAAAGCCUGAUGCAGCAACGCCGCGUGAGCGAUGAAGGCCUUCGGGUCGUAAAGCUCUGUCCUCAAGGAAGAUAAUGACGGUACUUGAGGAGGAAGCCCCGGCUAACUACGUGCCAGCAGCCGCGGUAAUACGUAGGGGGCUAGCGUUAUCCGGAAUUACUGGGCGUAAAGGGUGCGUAGGUGGUUUUUUAAGUCAGAAGUGAAAGGCUACGGCUCAACCGUAGUAAGCUUUUGAAACUAGAGAACUUGAGUGCAGGAGAGGAGAGUAGAAUUCCUAGUGUAGCGGUGAAAUGCGUAGAUAUUAGGAGGAAUACCAGUAGCGAAGGCGGCUCUCUGGACUGUAACUGACACUGAGGCACGAAAGCGUGGGGAGCAAACAGGAUUAGAUACCCUGGUAGUCCACGCCGUAAACGAUGAGUACUAGGUGUCGGGAGCUAUAAGUUCUCUGUAGCGCAGCUAACGCAUUAAGCACUCCGCCUGGGGAGUACGACCGCAAGGUUGAAACUCAAAGGAAUUGACGGGGGCCCGCACAAGCGGUGGAGCAUGUGGUUUAAUUCGAAGCAACGCGAAGAACCUUACCAGGUCUUGACAUACUCGUGCUAUCCUUAGAGAUAAGGAGUUCCUUCGGGACACGGGAUACAGGUGGUGCAUGGUUGUCGUCAGCUCGUGUCGUGAGAUGUUGGGUUAAGUCCCGCAACGAGCGCAACCCUUAUUACUAGUUGCCAUCAUUAAGUUGGGCACUCUAGUGAGACUGCCGGUGAUAAACCGGAGGAAGGUGGGGAUGACGUCAAAUCAUCAUGCCCCUUAUGACCUGGGCUACACACGUGCUACAAUGGAUGGUACAACGAGUCGCCAACCCGCGAGGGUACGCUAAUCUCUUAAAACCAUUCUCAGUUCGGAUUGCAGGCUGCAACUUGCCUGCAUGAAGUCGGAAUCGCUAGUAAUCGCGGAUCAGCACGCCGCGGUGAAUACGUUCCCGGGCCUUGCACACACCGCCCGUCA